GAAUUCAAGCAUAUUAAUAAGCGGAGGAAAAGAAACUAACAAGGAUUCCCCUAGUAAUGGCGAAUGAAGCGGGAACAGCUCAAAUUUGAAAUCUCCGUCGCCUGCGACGGCGAAUUGUAGUUUCGAGAAGCGCUUUCUAGGCGGAGCCGGCGCCGUCCAAGUUGCUUGGAACAGCACGUCAUAGAGGGUGACAACCCCGUCUGUGGCGGAGCCGGCCGCCCACGAUGCGCUUUCGACGAGUGGGUUGCU
This 249-nucleotide ribosomal RNA is filed under the name Heteractis magnifica (magnificent sea anemone). Its description in RNAcentral is "partial large subunit ribosomal RNA". It matches the Rfam family "Eukaryotic large subunit ribosomal RNA", at positions 30 to 274 of the family's 3401-position model. Lineage: Eukaryota; Metazoa; Cnidaria; Anthozoa; Actiniaria; Stichodactylidae. The record is from RNAcentral.